AAAGGACAUGAACCAUUUUGGCUGGUUUGCAAUGACAUUUCAAGAACAGGAUUGUCUGUGAAAGACCGGUUCCACAAAGACAAGCACUGAAGUCCAACAGUGGAAGAACAGCAUGACAUGGACCACAGCCCUGUGACAUUACAAGCGUGUAUUACAGCUGCCAGAUGGGCUCAGCUGACUCAUGCUCAGGAUCACUCCGACCAGCAGAUGUGAGGGAAGGAUGGAAUUUUGCCCAUGGUGUUAUUUUCUGCUUUCUUUCUGUACAACAGGAAAUAAUUUGCCUGCUGAAUGGGUCCAGUGUAUCUUUCCACGUCCAUUUCUUGACAAAUGAAGGACUCUCAGGCACCAGCAGCACCCCCAUGUUCUUUGCUUACGGUCACUACCAACCUGAAGAACCAGUCUUUUACAUCCUCUUAACAUUAUAGAAACAACAACAAAAGCCCUAAACUUUAAGUCUUUGCGCCAGCCCUAAAGCACACAGGCAUAACACAAGACCUAUGAUAGCCAAGAAGUCAGGCUCCAGCUACAGUUCUAAGAAGCACUGAGCUAUUUUUAACUCUUUAUUAUAAAGCCCUAUGGGGAUAGAUUCAUAGCGUUAUUUAUUAUCAUUAUUUUUAUUGUUAUUGGGAGAACACUAUUUUAAGGGAAAAAAGAAGCAUGACAAAUGAAGACCACGAUUUCUUAGGAUACCAGAAGUUCCCACUUCUUUAUGUAUCCUGUAAAUUAGUGCUCAUUUUCCGACAGAGGAAAAAAAACAACAACAAAAAAACUGGGG
This 775-nucleotide long non-coding RNA is filed under the name Gallus gallus (chicken). Its description in RNAcentral is "long non-coding RNA NONGGAT007995". The record is from RNAcentral. Lineage: Eukaryota; Metazoa; Chordata; Aves; Galliformes; Phasianidae.